This 429-nucleotide ribosomal RNA is filed under the name Actinomycetes bacterium. Its description in RNAcentral is "Actinobacteria bacterium partial 16S ribosomal RNA". It matches the Rfam family "Bacterial small subunit ribosomal RNA", at positions 355 to 776 of the family's 1533-position model. Lineage: Bacteria; Bacillati; Actinomycetota; Actinomycetes. The record is from RNAcentral.
UAGGGAAUCUUCCGCAAUGGGCGAAAGCCUGACGGAGCAACGCCGCGUGAGUGAUGAAGGUCUUCGGAUCGUAAAACUCUGUUAUUAGGGAAGAACAAAUGUGUAAGUAACUAUGCACGUCUUGACGGUACCUAAUCAGAAAGCCACGGCUAACUACGUGCCAGCAGCCGCGGUAAUACGUAGGUGGCAAGCGUUAUCCGGAAUUAUUGGGCGUAAAGCGCGCGUAGGCGGUUUUUUAAGUCUGAUGUGAAAGCCCACGGCUCAACCGUGGAGGGUCAUUGGAAACUGGAAAACUUGAGUGCAGAAGAGGAAAGUGGAAUUCCAUGGGUAGCGGUGAAAUGAGCAGAGAUAUGGAGGAACACCAGUGGCGAAGGCGACUUUCUGGUCUGUAACUGACGCUGAUGUGCGAAAGCGUGGGGAUCAAACAGG